Long non-coding RNA from Bactrocera dorsalis (oriental fruit fly), 1588 nucleotides. RefSeq lists it as uncharacterized. Lineage: Eukaryota; Metazoa; Arthropoda; Insecta; Diptera; Tephritidae. The record is from RefSeq and is a predicted model, not a curated record. The transcript is spliced from 2 exons.
CAUAACUAUAUAGUAUUAAACCAUUAACAAACAUAAUUUUGUUCCGCUUCUAUUAUAUAAAUACAAAUUUAUUAUAAAUAAGUAUAUUGGAAUAAAUUUAUAAUGAAAUAUUGUUGAAGGACCACCAAUACAUUGAUUGCAAAUAUAAAACCUUUGUGCCAGUUCACACUGUUUAAUUACUAUAUUGGGAAAUGUUUAGUAUCGCGCCGGUUUAGUAUCGUUUAUGGAGAAAAACAAGGGAGGGCUACCCCCCCUCACGCCCCUCAUUAGAAAGAGGAAGGAUCGAACUUUUAAAUAAACCCUCCCUCGACCCCCUAUAGACCUGUAGGGAGCCCUUUGAAAAUGACCAAAAAUCAGUGUUUUUGCUCAUUUUUCCAUACAAACUGAAACCAAUGCAACCCAGCCAAGAUUUUUGUAUGGACAAGAAAUCAAAAUAAAGAAUGAUACAAAGGGAUCCGGGGUGACCGAAGUACUUUCGUGUAGUACUCCUUUCAGCGUUGGCGGCCUUCGGCCGCGCUCUAAAAAAAUAACCCUGGUCGAGCGAAUACCCGGGGUUACCGAUGUACUUUCGUGUAGUACUCCUUUCUGCGUUGGCGGCCUUCGGCCGCGCUUCAAAAAAAACCCCUGGUCGGUCCAACACCGGGGUGUAUCAAUUUUUUUUCGCAUAGAACUCCUUUUUGCGUGGGCGGCCUUCGGCCGCGAUUUAACCCUUAAAUGCAUGGUUUUUCCUUUUUAAAAACCAAGUGUGUAUUUGUAAAUGGCGCGCCAAGCUGUCAAAUUAUUAAAAUUAAAAAGUGAAAUUUCAUAUCAUGAAAGUUUGCAUUCAAAAACCAACACAGAUAUUUUUAGCACCUAAUAAAAGUAAAAAGUACUGUGUUUGAGUUACCGUUUAGAAAUUAUGUAAGGAAGAAAACACUGAUGUAUAUAUACAUCAUCAUGCAUUUAAAGGUUAAAAAAAUAACCCUGGCCGGUCUAACACCGGCUACGCCAUCCACAGUAUUUUAGCACUGAACACCUUUUCGCGUUCACUUCAUACAUUUGUUGCUAACUGGGUUUAAUUUAUUCCCUUUUGUUCGUGCUUUUUCGGCAAUUUGACAGUUCAAAUUAGGCAGUCAUUUUGGUUUUUCGCUUUAUUGAACUUAAUGCAGAAAAAGGUGUAUUUUAUUUAAAGAUUUACAAAGAAAUUAAGAAUCAAAAGCAAUUAAAAACAUUACUAGUGGUUUUUAUAAUUCAUAAGUAAUAUAUGUACAGUGAGCCAAAAUUAACCGGCGCGAUACUAAACCCAACCCAACUCGACAAUAGACAUUUGCUCGGAGCAGCCCUAUCUUCUAGAAUUAUCAAGAAAAAAUGCAUUACGUAACCGAUGUUUGCAGUGAAGCCAGAGAUAAAGAGAUGUCUAACUCCUCACUGGAAGUGAUGUUUAGCAAUUGAAAAUGAGCGACUGACAGAUUGAAAUCCUACCAAAAAAAAUUGUAAACGGAGGGAUUUGUUGCUUUGUUCAAGACCACUUAUAAAAAAUGAAGAACAAAGAAAAUUAAAUGAAGUUGUGAAAUUUAAAUUCUUUUAAUGAAACAUUUUAUAAUGUCAA